Molecule: long non-coding RNA, 1462 nt
Organism: Mesocricetus auratus (golden hamster)
Lineage: Eukaryota; Metazoa; Chordata; Mammalia; Rodentia; Cricetidae
Exons: 3
Source: RefSeq, a predicted model, not a curated record
GCCGUCCACAUCCUCACUGUCGACAUUCGUUAGUGUUUGCUUUCUUAACCACCGUUGCUCUGACCCGGGUAGGAGAGACUCCCAACAGUUUCCGUUUGUGCUUCUCUGAUGGCUAUGAAGGAUCUGAUGUAGCCUCCGCUGAGCUCGGGCUUGUUAGGUAGCCAAGACUGACCGUGAACUCCCAACCCUCGAGUCUCCACCCACCUGCAUGUGUCGUCAUCACGCCUGCAUGUGUCAUCAUGCCUGGGAGUUCACGUGCUGCUGCCCAUCCGGCCCCGGGGCAUCUGGAACGGGGAGCAAGACCUGCACCAACUGAGAUAUUCAUUUCACGAGUGUCAUGUCUCAGUGUGUGCAUGCGCACCCUGUGCCGUCCGCAGAUGCUGUGAGCUGGUGACCACGACAAGCAGGAACUCAAUUUGAUGCCCGUCAUCUUCCCUGACGUAGACUGGUCCUGUCAGGAGCACACAUGUCUCACUGUCAAUGAAAAAAAUAAAGAAAGAACUUACGUUAUUAAAACAUCUUAAAUGCCAUAUUCUGUGGAUCUCUGAAGGGUGUGAAGAUGACACGCCUUUCUAAAAUAUGUUUGACCUAGUAAACAUACCUAACGUGAAGACAGGUUCGACUGCAGUAGCUGACUGACUGCUAAACUACGUGCGCUGAGCAGCUUGCCCUCAAGUGUCUCUCUCUCUCGAAGACGGUACUUGUAUGCCGUCCGCACCUCCCUUGGCCAGUGUUUCCUUCGUGGACGGCGCUGUCUGUGGCGGUAUCGGGACUUUGGGCUUCCUCUGCCUUCUGAGAUUGACCUCCUAGGUGUCCCCUCGAGUCUUCUACCUGAACGUAGGCGCCCUAGGGGCUCUACGGCUGCGAGGAGACACCAUGCCACAGCAGCUCCUACAAAGGAGAACUUCUAAUUGAGGUGGCGGCUACAUGAGUUUGGAGGCUCGGUCCAUCACCAAUCACCGCGGCCCAGAACGUGUAGCGCCUCUCCCUUUGGGAGCCAUUUUCCUUCAAAACACCACAGUAGGGGGGUUUUAAAAUAUCAUCCCCCCUUCAAAUACGUUUGCAGUGAUGUUGUGGCGCUGCGGGUUGUUCCAGCCCCUGUGACCUCUUCUCUAUUCACCCCAGCCCUGUUGAAAUUCAUCUUCCUCCCUAGCUGCUGCGAUGUUUUCCAUUUGUUCAUAGCUUCUUCUCCUUUACUGAGAUCCUCAACUUCUUAUGUGUCUCUUGGAGAAUGGAUUCUCCAUUGCCGAAAUGUUUUGGGGCACCUGCUUUAAAAUCCUGGCCAGACAAUUUACUCUCCACCUCUGAUUUGCCUUGGCUUUUGCCAGUUAACUGCCCCCCCCCCGCCCCGCCACUGUCUAUGUUUGGGGACACAAUUUCACUAUGUAUGCUCCUGGCUUGUCCCUCCAAAUUGUAAGAUCACCAGCAGGCACCGCCUUGCCCAAUAAAGCCGUCGUCCGUC